UAAUGACAGGAAACAAUGUCUCCUUCAGCCUAGAGGCUCCCUCACCCCCAAGACUGCUCUGCUGCUCACAUCUGCUACUUCCUUCAGUCCGUGCACAGAGGAGUGGCCCGUGCUGCUGCCUGAAGGCUUUGAGCAGAAAUAUGACUGGAACCAGCCAGCACUGGCAGAGCCAUUGCAGCAGGGUGCCACGGACAUGGACCAAGGUGCUUUCCAACCUUCGGUCACCCUCCCCGUCAAGAGGUGGACCAGAUGCCCCAAGAAGCUGCAGCACUUGUGUCUGUGAGGUCGUCCUGGCCCGGCCCCCGUGGCUGUGCCCUGGUUCCUGAGGGCCACAGGAGAACAGAUAGCUUCCAUUGGCUGAGGCAGUUUCUUUUGUGGAAUCCUGCAACAUUUGGGCCACCAGAUGGUGCUGACACCUGAUUUGGAGUGACACUCUCUGAAGUGGGACACAGGGCAAAGGAAGCAGCCUGAGGCCUGCAUCAGAUGCAGCCGUCCCAGAAUCGUUUGUUUCCUGCUGUCUCUGCGAGCUGGUCUCUCCUGCAUGUGUGACUUGCACGGGUACUGUUAUUUCACAAAGUGGCUGCUCCCACCUCUUCCCACCAAACUCCCCCAGCCUGAAGCUGCAAACUUGCUGGGAGGCACAUACUAUCCAGACCCUGAGAAGUCAAGGGAGACAUCAGAAAAGCUAUGUGGAUCCACCCCUCCAGCAGGACCUGAGGUAACAGCAAGGGCAGCAGCAGAAGCCAGGUGGAGCCUUGGUGAGAACUUGCACUUGGCUCCCUGCACGGAGCUCCUGUAGCUCACGUCCCCUCCCUCCUGCUUUUCCUGUCCCACAUUCCAUUCCCUCAGCCCCUC
Long non-coding RNA from Galeopterus variegatus (Sunda flying lemur), 855 nucleotides. RefSeq lists it as uncharacterized. The transcript is spliced from 5 exons. NCBI's taxonomy places the organism in Eukaryota, Metazoa, Chordata, Mammalia, Dermoptera, Cynocephalidae. The record is from RefSeq and is a predicted model, not a curated record.